Molecule: ribosomal RNA, 248 nt
Filed under: uncultured bacterium
Lineage: Bacteria
Description: partial 16S ribosomal RNA
Rfam family: Bacterial small subunit ribosomal RNA
Source: RNAcentral
AUACGUAGGUGGCAAGCGUUAUCCGGAUUUAUUGGGCGUAAAGCGAGCGCAGGUCGGUUUUUUAAGUCUGAUGUGAAAGCCCUCGGCUUAACCGAGGAAGCGCAUCGGAAACUGGGAAACUUGAGUGCAGAAGAGGACAGUGGAACUCCAUGUGUAGCGGUAAAAUGCGUAGAUAUAUGGAAGAACACCAGUGGCGAAGGCGGCUGUCUGGUCUGUAACUGACGCUGAGGCUCGAAAGUAUGGGUAGC